UACCUGUAUUAGUUCAUUAACUAUGAAUUUAUCCUAUCCUCCUAUUUAUUUCUUUGUUUAGCAUGGCUGAAUUUUGCCAUGUUCAACGUACAUGUCACGCCCUUGUUCCGAGGGACGAGACCGACACUCGACCAGGUAUCCCCAAACAAGCGUACCUGGGUGCGCUUCCUAUUCCACAUAUUACCCCACAUCUUCCAUUACAUAUUAACCAAGUGAAAUUACCAUAUAAUUAAUUUGAAACACAAAUUCAUUACAAAACAUAAACAAGGUACAUGAUUCUUAGCUUGGGUUACAUCUUACAUUUCCCAAAUAUACGAAAUACAUAUUUCAUGAGUUCAUGACCCACAUUUCCUAUCUACAGGGCCUCUAAAGAUGAAAUAAGUUAAUACAAUAUUUGCCGGUAACAAGGCUCCGAC
RNAcentral lists this long non-coding RNA (416 nucleotides) under Nicotiana benthamiana. RNAcentral describes it as "long non-coding RNA (NBEN_LNC039102)". The record is from RNAcentral. Lineage: Eukaryota; Viridiplantae; Streptophyta; Magnoliopsida; Solanales; Solanaceae.